RNAcentral lists this ribosomal RNA (503 nucleotides) under uncultured bacterium. RNAcentral's name for it is "partial 16S ribosomal RNA". It matches the Rfam family "Bacterial small subunit ribosomal RNA", at positions 30 to 523 of the family's 1533-position model. The record is from RNAcentral.
AUUGAACGCUGGCGGCAGGCUUAACACAUGCAAGUCGAGCGGGGUGAUGGUGCUUGCACUAUCACUUAGCGGCGGACGGGUGAGUAAUGCUUAGGAAUCUGCCUAUUAGUGGGGGACGACUUCUCGAAAGGGAUGCUAAUACCGCAUACGUCCUACGGGAGAAAGCGGGGGAUCACUUGUGACCUUGCGCUAAUAGAUGAGCCUAAGUCGGAUUAGCUAGUUGGUGGGGUAAAGGCCUACCAAGGCGACGAUCUGUAGCGGGUCUGAGAGGAUGAUCCGCCACACUGGGACUGAGACACGGCCCAGACUCCUACGGGAGGCAGCAGUGGGGAAUAUUGGACAAUGGGGGGAACCCUGAUCCAGCCAUGCCGCGUGUGUGAAGAAGGCCUUAUGGUUGUAAAGCACUUUAAGCGAGGAGGAGGCUCUUUUGGUUAAUACCCAAGAUGAGUGGACGUUACUCGCAGAAUAAGCACCGGCUAACUCUGUGCCAGCCGCCGCGGUAA